RNAcentral lists this ribosomal RNA (119 nucleotides) under Lepisosteus oculatus (spotted gar). Lineage: Eukaryota; Metazoa; Chordata; Actinopteri; Semionotiformes; Lepisosteidae. The record is from RNAcentral.
GCUAGCAGCCAUAUCACCCUGCAACUCACAACUGGCAGCUCACUAAAGCUAAGCAGGGCUGAGGCUGGUCAGUACCUGGUUGAGAGACCUCAUGGGAAAACCUGCAGUUGCUGCUGGAA